GUUCCAUUGGGUUCCCAUAGGGUUCCAUUGGGUUCCAUUGGGUUUCCAUUGGGUUCCAUAGGGUUUCCAUCAACUUUCCAUUGGAGAUUCCCAAUCUUCAGACCCCAUUUGUUCCCCCCCCCAUUUCCAGGCCCCCCCCCCAAUUUACUCCUUGAGGAAGAAGUGCAUCUUGUCCCCUACCCCCUUCCUCUCGGGGUUGAGUCCCAUUGUGUCCCAUACGGUUUCCAUAGGUUUUCCAUAGGGUUUCCAUCAACUUUCCAUUGGACAUUCCCAAUCUUCGGACCCCAUUUGUUCCCCCCCCCAUUUCUACGCCCCCCCCCCAAAUUACUCCUUGAGGAAGAAGUGCAUCUUGUCCCCUAUCACCUUCCUCUCGGGGUUGAGCCGCUUUAGGAUCUGUGCCAAAGCGUUGACCGUCUGCUCCGAGCUCAGCGCCGUGCGCCGCGCCGGGAAUUUCUUCAGCAGAUCCUUGGUGGUCAUCGGCUUCCGGGCCAGGUAGCGCCGCACUGCGUCCUCCGUCAGCUGCACCUCCCUAGGGGGGGAAAUUAUGGGAUGUGGGGUCAUUUAUGGGGUCGUAUAGGGCGUCAGAUAUGGGGUUGUAUAGGGGGUCAGAUAUGGGGUUUGGUUGGGGGGGGUAGGGGUGUAAUUACAGAGUGUGACCACUGGGUGGCGCUGCUGGGUAUCUAUGGGGGGUUAUAUGGGGUUAGAUGGGGUUAGAUGGGGAUGGAUAUGGGGUUAGAUAUGGGGUUGGAUAUGGGGUUAGAUGGGGAUGGAUAUGGGGUUGGAUAUGGGGUUAGAUGGGGAUGGAUAUGGGGUUAGAUAUAGGGUUAGAGAUGGGGUUAUAUGGGGUUAGAUAUGGGGUUAGAUAUGGGGUUAGAUGGGGAUGGAUAUGGGGUUGGAUAUGGGGAUGGAUAUGGGGUUAGAUGGGGUUAUAUGGGAUAAGAUAUAGGGUAAGAUAUGGGGUAAGACAUGGGGUUAGAUUUGGGGUUAGAUAUGGGAUUCUAUGGGGGGUUAUGGGGUGCAAUUACACUAUGCGACCACGGGGUGGCGCUGUGGGGUCUCUACGGGAGGUUCUAUGGGGUCGUUUGGGGUCAUAUGGGGUCACGUGGGGUUCUAUGGGGUUAUAUAUGGGAUUCUAUGGGGGUCAUAUGGGGUGCAAUUACACCGUGCGACCACGGGGUGGCGCUGUGGGGUCUCUACAGGAGAUUCUACGGGGUUCUAUGGGGUCGUAUGGGGUCAUAUGGGGUCACGUGGGGUUCUAUGGGGUUAUAUAUGGGAUUCUAUGGGGUUAUCUAUGGGGUUACCUAUGGGGUUACCUAUA
RNAcentral lists this long non-coding RNA (1318 nucleotides) under Phasianus colchicus (ring-necked pheasant). RNAcentral describes it as "lncRNA (ENSPCLG00000017171.1)". Lineage: Eukaryota; Metazoa; Chordata; Aves; Galliformes; Phasianidae. The record is from RNAcentral.